AGUUUUGUAGUGUAGAAGCAUGCCAGAUUGCAAACCUGGUGGCGCAGAGUAACUCCUGCCAAAACUU
RNAcentral lists this transfer RNA (67 nucleotides) under Rhinomuraena quaesita (ribbon moray). Its description in RNAcentral is "tRNA-Cys". It matches the Rfam family "tRNA". From Rfam's summary of the family: Transfer RNA (tRNA) molecules are approximately 80 nucleotides in length. Their secondary structure includes four short double-helical elements and three loops (D, anti-codon, and T loops). The record is from RNAcentral. Lineage: Eukaryota; Metazoa; Chordata; Actinopteri; Anguilliformes; Muraenidae.